CCACCCCCACCUCCCUUAUCUCCCGCGCUCUCGUUCCCACCAUCGCCUCCACCAUGGCUGCCGUUGGCAUCACCUCCCCGCCGGCGCCGUCCGCCUUCGCGCCCGCCACAUCUUCCUGCUCCCACUCUCGCACUCCAUCCCCCGCUCGCAUCCGCUGCCUCCCCACCCGAUUCGCGGCUCUGGCGUCGUUCCGCGCGCGGUGCGCGCCGCUGCAGAUGGCGGGGUCGCGGC
This 231-nucleotide long non-coding RNA is filed under the name Setaria italica (foxtail millet). RNAcentral's name for it is "long non-coding RNA (SITA_LNC002556)". Lineage: Eukaryota; Viridiplantae; Streptophyta; Magnoliopsida; Poales; Poaceae. The record is from RNAcentral.